Long non-coding RNA from Dromiciops gliroides (monito del monte), 312 nucleotides. RefSeq lists it as uncharacterized. The transcript has 4 exons. The record is from RefSeq and is a predicted model, not a curated record. Lineage: Eukaryota; Metazoa; Chordata; Mammalia; Microbiotheria; Microbiotheriidae.
CAGCAUUCCACCCUCGCUGCUGCCACCGCCACCGUGUUGGUCCUAAGCUCCCGUGUCUGGUGAAAGAAGACUCAGGAACCAAGAGAAAGAAGGGGACAGUUGGUGCGGAGCCCAGCGCAAGGCAGACGCGCGGCCCGGACAGCUGACUAAGGACGGAUGGACAGAGAGGGCCAGGGAGAGGCGAACUGAGUUUGAUCCUCCAGCGGCUACAACAAGUCCAGAGACGAGAGACACAAUCCUGCGGACUGCCUGCCUUUGCUGAUUGAUACAAUAACCCGGCUCGGCUUCUCCACCGCCCGCCCCCCAACCCCA